Molecule: ribosomal RNA, 491 nt
Filed under: uncultured bacterium
Lineage: Bacteria
Description: partial 16S ribosomal RNA
Rfam family: Bacterial small subunit ribosomal RNA
Source: RNAcentral
GAUGAACGCUAGCUACAGGCUUAACACAUGCAAGUCGAGGGGAAACGACAUCGAAAGCUUGCUUUUGAUGGGCGUCGACCGGCGCACGGGUGAGUAACGCGUAUCCAACCUGCCCAUCACUUGGGAAUAACCUUGCGAAAGUAAGACUAAUACCCAAUGACAUCCCACGAAGACAUCUGAAUGGGAUUAAAGAUUUAUCGGUGAUGGAUGGGGAUGCGUCUGAUUAGCUUGUUGGCGGGGUAACGGCCCACCAAGGCAACGAUCAGUAGGGGUUCUGAGAGGAAGGUCCCCCACAUUGGAACUGAGACACGGUCCAAACUCCGACGGGAGGCAGCAGUGAGGAAUAUUGGUCAAUGGGCGAGAGCCUGAACCAGCCAAGUAGCGUGCAGGAUGACGGCCCUAUGGGUUGUAAACUGCUUUUAUAAGGGAAUAAAGUGGGUCUCGUGAGACUUUUUGCAUGUACCUUAUGAAUAAGGACCGGCUAAUUCCGU